CGUGUAGGCGGUCAGGUAAGUGGAAUGUGAAAUGCCCCGGCUCACCCGGGGACCGGCAUCCCAAACUGCCUGGCUUGAGUAUGGGAGAGGAUGGAGGAAUUCCUGGUGUAGCGGUGAAAUGCGUAGAUAUCGGGAGGAACACCGGUGGCGAAGGCGUCCAUCUGGCCCAAUACUGACGCUGAGGCGCGAAAGCUAGGGGAGCAAACG
RNAcentral lists this ribosomal RNA (207 nucleotides) under uncultured Latescibacterota bacterium. Its description in RNAcentral is "uncultured Latescibacteria bacterium partial 16S ribosomal RNA". It matches the Rfam family "Bacterial small subunit ribosomal RNA", at positions 568 to 774 of the family's 1533-position model. Lineage: Bacteria; Pseudomonadati; Candidatus Latescibacterota. The record is from RNAcentral.